GUACUCUAGUUUCCCUUCAAUUAUCGCAUAAAUCUUUCGCCUUUUACUAAAGAUUUCCGUGGAGGGGAACAAUUGAUGAGUCUUAUAAAAAUUUUUUGUGUGCCCGGCGGAAGCUGGGCC
Microplitis demolitor is the source of this 120-nucleotide small nuclear RNA. RefSeq annotates it as U5 spliceosomal RNA. The transcript has a single exon. The record is from RefSeq and is a predicted model, not a curated record. NCBI's taxonomy places the organism in Eukaryota, Metazoa, Arthropoda, Insecta, Hymenoptera, Braconidae.